RNAcentral lists this ribosomal RNA (497 nucleotides) under uncultured bacterium. RNAcentral describes it as "partial 16S ribosomal RNA". It matches the Rfam family "Bacterial small subunit ribosomal RNA", at positions 28 to 507 of the family's 1533-position model. The record is from RNAcentral.
GAUGAACGCUGGCGGCGUGCCUAAUACAUGCAAGUCGAGCGAACGGACGAGAAGCUUGCUUCUCUGAUGUUAGCGGCGGACGGGUGAGUAACACGUGGAUAACCUACCUAUAAGACUGGGAUAACUUCGGGAAACCGGAGCUAAUACCGGAUGAUAUUUUGAACCGCAUGGUUCAAAAGUGAAAGACGGUCUUGCUGUCACUUAUAGAUGGAUCCGCGCUGCAUUAGCUAGUUGGUAAGGUAACGGCUUACCAAGGCAACGAUGCAUAGCCGACCUGAGAGGGUGAUCGGCCACACUAGAACUGAGAUACGGUCCAGACUCCUACGGGAGGCAGCAGUAGGGAAUCUUCCGCAAUGGGCGAAAGCCUGACGGAGCAACGCCGCGUGGGUGAUGAAGGUCUUCGGAUCGUAAAACUCUGUUAUUAGGGAAGAACAUAUGUGUAAGUAACUGUGCACAUCUUGACGGUACCUAAUCAGAAAGCCACGGCUAACUACGUG